GAUGAACGCUGGCGGCGUGCCUAAUACAUGCAAGUCGAGCGAACGGACGAGAAGCUUGCUUCUCUGAUGUUAGCGGCGGACGGGUGAGUAACACGUGGAUAACCUACCUAUAAGACUGGGAUAACUUCGGGAAACCGUAGCUAAUACCGGAUAAUAUUUUGAACCGCAUGGUUCAAAAGUGAAAGACGGUCUUGCUGUCACUUAUAGAUGGAUCCGCGCUGCAUUAGCUAGUUGGUAAGGUAACGGCUUACCAAGGCAACGAUGCAUAGCUGACCUGAGAGGGUGAUCGGCCACACUGGAACUGAGACACGGUCCAGACUCCUACGGGAGGCAGCAGUAGGGAAUCUUCCGCAAUGGGCGAAAGCCUGACGGAGCAACGCCGCGUGAGUGAUGAAGGUCUUCGGAUCGUAAAACUCUGUUAUUAGGGAAGAACAUAUGUGUAAGUAACUGUACACAUCUUGACGGUACCUAAUCAGAAAGCCACGGCUAACUACGUG
This 497-nucleotide ribosomal RNA is filed under the name uncultured bacterium. RNAcentral's name for it is "partial 16S ribosomal RNA". It matches the Rfam family "Bacterial small subunit ribosomal RNA", at positions 28 to 507 of the family's 1533-position model. The record is from RNAcentral.